GAUGAACGCUGGCGGCGUGCCUAAUACAUGCAAGUCGAGCGAACGGACGAGAAGCUUGCUUCUCUGAUGUUAGCGGCGGACGGGUGAGUAACACGUGGAUAACCUACCUAUAAGACUGGGAUAACUUCGGGAAACCGGAGCUAAUACCGGAUGAUAUUUUGAACCGCAUGGUUCAAAAGUGAAAGACGGUCUUGCUGUCACUUAUAGAUGGAUCCGCGCUGCAUUAGCUAGUUGGUAAGGUAACGGCUUACCAAGGCAACGAUGCAUAGCCGACCUGAGAGGGUGAUCGGCCACACUGGAACUGAGACGCGGUCCAGACUCCUACGGGAGGCAGCAGUAGGGAAUCUUCCGCAAAGGGCGAAAGCCUGACGGAGCAGCGCCGCGUGAGUGAUGAAGGUCUUCGGAUCGUAAAACUCUGUUAUUAGGGAAGAACAUAUGUGUAAGUAACUGUGCACAUCUUGACGGUACCUAAUCAGAAAGCCACGGCUAACUACGUG
RNAcentral lists this ribosomal RNA (497 nucleotides) under uncultured bacterium. Its description in RNAcentral is "partial 16S ribosomal RNA". It matches the Rfam family "Bacterial small subunit ribosomal RNA", at positions 28 to 507 of the family's 1533-position model. The record is from RNAcentral.